AGAACAAAAAAUUCUCUCUCUCUCAAAAAAAAAACAAAAAAACAAAAAAUUCUCUCAAUUUUAGAUAUCCAAACUUACUCUUAAUUUCAUAUAUAAUAAUUUGCUAAGUAUUAAUUAUUUUUGGUACAGAUGACAAAUGACUUGGUAGUAGAUAUUCUAGGUAUUCAAGAUCACAAGUUCAAAGCCUAAUUAUGUUAUAUUUUUCCAUCUAAAAUAAGAAAAAAAAGCUAAGUAAAUCUCCCGAUGCUUAUUGCUAUGGAAAAGUCUACCUGUACUCCUAUAGGAAGGUGUAUAUCCUACAACUAUCAGAUCCAAUGGCUGAUAUUAAUCCACUAGCAUAGUAGCUUCUAACCUCACACCUUUUUUACUUCUUACUAAAGCUAACUUAAAUUAAACCCUACUACACUUCUCUCUCCUGCACAGCUCCUCUCGCUAUCUCUGUUUCUCGCUCUCUCUCGCUUCCUCUCUUUCUCUCGCUCCCUUGCCUCUCGUCAUCUCGCGCUCUCCCCUUUCUCUUUCUCUCACUCUCGCUCGCAGGGCACUCCACUCCAUCGGGCAGAAGUUCGGCAGCGCUCGUUCCACACAUCUCGUGUCCGAAGCCGUCUCGAAGGUGUCUCUCGGCCUCGCCUUUCUCCAUUGGUAGGAGGUCGCCUCUCAACUGCUCCCCUGUCCAUCCCAGUACCUGUGACGCAUUCCUUCAGUCGUGAGCGUCCGAAAUUGGGAACGAUUUCGGAGCUAAUUCGGCCACAACCGAAACAGAUGAUUCAACUCAAACA
This 776-nucleotide long non-coding RNA is filed under the name Ananas comosus (pineapple). RNAcentral's name for it is "long non-coding RNA (ACOM_LNC004043)". Lineage: Eukaryota; Viridiplantae; Streptophyta; Magnoliopsida; Poales; Bromeliaceae. The record is from RNAcentral.